UGGUAAGAAAUUUAAGUUUCUUUUCUUUUCUUUUUCUCUUGUAAUGAGUUUUGGCACUGCUAUGCUUGGCAAAUGUGGUAACUUGUGAAGUCUUCUCUACUGGCUGAUUGCUGAAAGCUGAUUACUUUUUCAUCUAGUUCUGAUCUUUCCAGUGAGUGAUUAGGUGCUACCUCUCCUUAAUCUCUCAUCAUAAUCUUCUUCUAGUUCUAUUUCUUCUCUGGUUCCUUCUGAAUUUACUCCUCCCCCAAAUACAUCGAAUUCUAGUUCUAACUAUAUAUUUGCUGAAACUAAAUUUCUUCUUCCAA
Telopea speciosissima is the source of this 305-nucleotide long non-coding RNA. RefSeq lists it as uncharacterized. The record is from RefSeq and is a predicted model, not a curated record. The transcript is spliced from 4 exons. NCBI's taxonomy places the organism in Eukaryota, Viridiplantae, Streptophyta, Magnoliopsida, Proteales, Proteaceae.